RNAcentral lists this ribosomal RNA (649 nucleotides) under Sinomonas sp. UAPS0119. RNAcentral describes it as "bacterial SSU rRNA". It matches the Rfam family "Bacterial small subunit ribosomal RNA", at positions 98 to 760 of the family's 1533-position model. The record is from RNAcentral. Lineage: Bacteria; Bacillati; Actinomycetota; Actinomycetes; Micrococcales; Micrococcaceae.
GCGAACGGGUGAGUAACACGUGAGCAACCUGCCCUUGAYUCUGGGAUAAGCCUGGGAAACUGGGUCUAAUACCGGAUAGGACUCCUCAUCGCAUGGUGGGGGGUGGAAAGCCUUGUGCGGUCUUGGAUGGGCUCGCGGCCUAUCAGCUUGUUGGUGGGGUGAUGGCCUACCAAGGCGACGACGGGUAGCCGGCCUGAGAGGGUGACCGGCCACACUGGGACUGAGACACGGCCCAGACUCCUACGGGAGGCAGCAGUGGGGAAUAUUGCACAAUGGGCGGAAGCCUGAUGCAGCGACGCCGCGUGGGGGAUGACGGCCUUCGGGUUGUAAACCCCUUUCAGCAGGGAAGAAGGGCAACUGACGGUACCUGCAGAAGAAGCGCCGGCUAACUACGUGCCAGCAGCCGCGGUAAUACGUAGGGCGCGAGCGUUAUCCGGAAUUAUUGGGCGUAAAGAGCUCGUAGGCGGCUUGUCGCGUCUGCUGUGAAAGCCCGGGGCUCAACCCCGGGUCUGCAGUGGGUACGGGCAGGCUGGAGUGCAGUAGGGGAGACUGGAAUUCCUGGUGUAGCGGUGAAAUGCGCAGAUAUCAGGAGGAACACCGAUGGCGAAGGCAGGUCUCUGGGCUNUAACUGACGCUNACGAGCRAMVGC